This 497-nucleotide ribosomal RNA is filed under the name uncultured bacterium. RNAcentral's name for it is "partial 16S ribosomal RNA". It matches the Rfam family "Bacterial small subunit ribosomal RNA", at positions 28 to 507 of the family's 1533-position model. The record is from RNAcentral.
GAUGAACGCUGGCGGCGUGCCUAAUACAUGCAAGUCGAGCGAACAGAUAAGGAGCUUGCUCCUUUGACGUUAGCGGCGGACGGGUGAGUAACACGUGGGUAACCUACCUAUAAGACUGGAAUAACUCCGGGAAACCGGGGCUAAUGCAGGAUAACAUGUUGAACCGCAUGGUUCUAUAGUGAAAGGCGGCUUUGCUGUCACUUAUAGAUGGACCCGCGCCGUAUUAGCUAGUUGGUGAGGUAACGGCUCACCAAGGCAACGAUACGUAGCCGACCUGAGAGGGUGAUCGGCCACACUGGAACUGAGACACGGUCCAGACUCCUACGGGAGGCAGCAGUAGGGAAUCUUCCGCAAUGGGCGAAAGCCUGACGGAGCAACGCCGCGUGAGUGAUGAGGGUCUUCGGAUCGUAAAACUCUGUUAUUAGGGAAGAACAAAUGCGUAAGUAACUGUGCGCGUCUUGACGGUACCUAAUCAGAAAGCCACGGCUAACUACGUG